Molecule: ribosomal RNA, 253 nt
Filed under: uncultured bacterium
Lineage: Bacteria
Description: partial 16S ribosomal RNA
Rfam family: Bacterial small subunit ribosomal RNA
Source: RNAcentral
UACGUAGGGCGCAAGCGUUGUCCGGAAUUAUUGGGCGUAAAGAGCUCGUAGGCGGUUUGUCGCGUCUGCCGUGAAAGUCCGGGGCUCAACUCCGGAUCUGCGGUGGGUACGGGCAGACUAGAGUGAUGUAGGGGAGACUGGAAUUCCUGGUGUAGCGGUGAAAUGCGCAGAUAUCAGGAGGAAUACCGAUGGCGAAGGCAGGUCUCUGGGCUGACACUGACGCUCAUGCACGAAAGCGUGGGGAGCAAACAGG